This is a long non-coding RNA of Herpailurus yagouaroundi (jaguarundi), 3331 nucleotides long. RefSeq lists it as uncharacterized. The transcript is spliced from 3 exons. The record is from RefSeq and is a predicted model, not a curated record. Lineage: Eukaryota; Metazoa; Chordata; Mammalia; Carnivora; Felidae.
UCAGAAUUUGGAGAGACAAGAUGUGAAAUUAGGCUAGAGAAAUUCACUUGUGGUAAGACUUGAUUCGAUGAACUCCAUGUUAUUUUUAGCCCUCUUCCCUUCGUUGAAAUGACGCUAUAAGCCAUUAUAAACUAUUCCAUUCAUCCUAUAGAAAAUCACCAGGCCAGUGUCCUUCCUUAUGAACAUGAUCUCCUAAUUCUAACCACAGUAAUCUAUAAUUGUUUGUUUUUGCUUAAGUCUUCUGAAUCAAUUAUUGAGAAUGUCCAGGUACGAAAUAUAGUUACCUAAAACACUUUAAAAAUAACUUACAAAUAUUGUUUUCAGGAUGUAUGGAUAUCUUACAAACAAUUAAGAAAUAAUUCAGAGCAUGAAUUUAGGUUGUCCUUAGGCAUUAAACUCAGUUAAGAUGACACUGUUCACUCUUUUUGCCAAAGACUGUUAAAAUAAAUUUCAAGAUCAAUGGCUAAGAACUCCUAUUAGUUUAUAAGAGCACUUAUGUAUGCAGCUUUUCAAAUAACCAAAUGAUGAUUGUUUUCCAUAUAGAAAAUCCAACAUUAAAUACAGAUUAUGAUUUCAUAACAAUUUUGAAGCUCUAAUCAACCAAGGGGAAAAUACAUAAAUAUUUUAAUGUAAAGGAAUUUACUAUAUUUUGCCUGAAAUAUAGCUUGGGUAGAGGAGAAAAGCCACUAUGUGGAGAUGUUUAUGAAGAGUAAAUAUGUGUCUGACAAAAUCUACAUACAAAACAAUAAAAAAACAAUUUCCCAAACAAAAUCUACUUCGGUUAUUGGGUUCUGCAAAUGACUUAACACAUUGAGAUCAAUUAGAGACUUUACCAAAAACUUUUUUAUAAUCUUGGCCCUCUCCCAAGCAUACUCACAUUGCUUAGAUUGCACAAUUUACAAACAAGAAAUCAGAUACCAAUAUAAAAAUACGCGAUAUUACAUAACAAUGUGCUUUAAAGACUAGAAUUAAAAAUUUAUGAGGAAUACACACAAAUGAGUGCGUGCAUCCUGAUAAAAUCUGAAUAAUUGCUGUGGACUAGAUCAACAUCAGUUUUAUGGUGUCGAUAUAGUAUCAUGAUACAUGCAAGAUGUUAACAAUGGAGAAGUCAAGGAUGCAGCAGAGCUCCUACACAUAUUUCAAAUAAAAAGUUCUUAAAAACGAUCUGUUUUUGUCUGAUUAUCCCCAAAGGCAAAAUUUCUGACCUGUCUCUGGAGCUGGGGGUGGGGACAAUGGCACUCUUCUCUCAGUGACACCCACUUUAGGAGUUGAGCUGUACGUGGAAAGAGGGCAGCAGUCUCAGGUCUUCUCUAUUUGCCUCUAGUGUGAUAUCACCAUUUCACAAGCUAAGUUAUCCUAGAUGUAUCUUUGUAAGAUACCUCAAAUACUUUUCAGAGUAAACUUUAGAGCCAGAGAAGCCAUCAACCCAGAAGUGCCAAUGAGUGAAGAAAUAAUGGAUGAAAAUUUGAUGAAACUUCCCAAAUGUGAUGAAAGAUAUGAUGUAAACAUCCAAGAAGCUCAACGAGCUCCAAGUAAGAUGACCUCAAAAACCCGCAAUGAAACACAUUGUAAUUAAUCUAAGAGAAAGAGAGAAUCUUGAAAGUAGCAAGAGAAAAGCAAAUUGUUACGUGGAAGAAUCCUCAAUAAGAUUAUUAGCAGAUUUCUCAUCAGAAACUGGAGGCCAGAAGACCAUAAACCAAUACAUUCAAAGUGCUUUUAAAAAGUGGCAUUAUUGUCCUUCAAAAGUUAGGAAGAAAUUAAGACAUUCCCAGAUAAACAAAAGCUGAAAGAGUUCAUGACCACUAGACACAUCCUGUAAGAAAUGCUCAAGAGAGUCCUACAAGGUGAAAAGACACUGGAAACUAACUUGAAUCUGUAGGGAGAAAUAAAGAUCUGAACACAGGCAAUUAUAAAAGCUAGCAUAUCACUGUAGCAAUGGUUUUAAAGAGCACUUUUUGUUUUCCAAUACAUUUAAAGAAAAACAAAGCAGUUAAUAAUACAGUUUCAUCCUGCUGUGAUCAGAGAAGAUACUCUGUAAGACAGCUAGCUUUUAAAAUCUUACUUAUUAAGACUUACUUACUUAUUACGACUCACUGUUAACAAUUAUAUAGCAACAAAUUAGAUAAUAUAGAUAAAAUGGACAAAUUCCUAGAAACACAAAACCUACCAAGACUAUAUCACAAAGAAAUAGAAAAUAUGAACAGACCUAUAACUGAUAAUGAAUCAGCAAUAUAAAAAUCUCCCAACCACAAACUGUAGACGUGAUGGCUUCACAGGAGAAUUCUACCAAACAUUUAAAGAACUAACAUCAGUACUUCUCAAACCUUUCUAAAAAACUCAAGAGUAGGGAACACUUCCUAACUCAUUCUAUGAGGCCAGCAUUAUCCUGAUACCCAAAGCCAGACAGACACUACAAGAACAAAAAAAUUUAUAGAUCAGCAUGUCUUAUGAACAUUAAUGCAAAAAAUCCUCAACAAAAUACUAGCAAAUAAAAAUCAGCAGCAUAUUAAAAGGAUUGUACACAAUGACCAAAUAGGAUUUAUUCCUGGAAUGUAAGGAUGGUUCAACAUAAUCAAUUGAUCAGAAUGUAAGGAUGGUUCAAACGUAAGAAACUAAUGAACAUAAAACACCACAUCAACAUAAUAAAGGAAAAGACCUCACAUGAACAUCUCAAUUGAUGCAGAAAAGGCAUCUGACAAAAUUCAACACCUUUUCAUGAUUAAAAAACCCAACAGACAAGGCAUAGAAGGAAACCACCUCAACACAAUAAAAAAAACUAUAGCGGACAUGUUUGAUGGUGAAAUGCUGAAAGCAUUUCCUUUAAGAUCAGGAACAAGUAAGGAUGUCUGUUUUCAUCACUUCUAUUCAACACAAUACUGGAAAUUAUAGCCAGAGCAACUAAGCACAAAAAUGAAAUAGAAGGUAUCCAAAUGGGAAAGAAGUAAAAUGAUCUCUGUAGAUGAUAUGAUCUUAUAUUUUAAAAACUCUAAAGAGUCCACAAAAAACCUGUUUGAACUAAUAAAUUAAGUCAGCAAUACAGCAAGAUACAAAGUUACCACACAAAAAUCAACUGCAUUUUUAUACACAAUUAGAGAACUUGAAAAGGAAAUUACAAAAGCAAUUCCAUGUACAAUAGCAUCAAAAAGAAUAAAAUACUUAGGAAUUAACCAAGAAGGUGAAAGAAAACUUCAUCUUCUUGUACAAAAAAACUACAGUGACUACAAAACAUUGUUGAAAGGAAUUAAAGAAGACAUAAGUACAUGAAAGCAUAUCUCUUAUUCAUGAAAUGUAAGUCCUAAUAUUAUUAAAAUAUCAAUAUUACCCAAAGCAA